ACCGCGAGUAUCCGGGCAAUGUAGGGGAUAAGGGGCAGGUUCAGGACCAGCAGAACCAGAUUCCCGAGAUACAUCGAGAUGAUGACCGACCAGAAAAUCUCGGGUGAAUCGACCAUCAGACGCGGGCC
Molecule: non-coding RNA, 128 nt
Filed under: Roseovarius pacificus
Lineage: Bacteria; Pseudomonadati; Pseudomonadota; Alphaproteobacteria; Rhodobacterales; Roseobacteraceae
Description: Ruegeria cis8 sRNA
Rfam family: Ruegeria cis8 sRNA
About the family: Cis-encoded. Targets hypothetical protein.
Source: Rfam by way of RNAcentral